UUUUGAUAAAGUAGAGGUCCAAUCAACUUGAAACUUAGUAUACAUGUUCCCUUUGAUAAGAUCAUUCUAAUUUUAAUGCCAAAUUAGAGAAUUUAUUCCAAUUUCACGUUCCACUAAACAUAGAAAAUGAUAGUGCGAGUGGGGCAUCCGUGUACUGUGGACACAUUCUUGUUUAGUAUUUCUAGGACAUUAGCGACAACAUGUGCAAUAUACAUAUUACAUUAGUAGGUUGUUUCAUUAUACAAAAUGUUUUAAUAUUAAACGAAUGUUCUGAUUAUAAUUUUUAAAGUAAUCACAAAACUUGUGCAAUGAUAACUUAUGAGUAAAUCAGGUUGUUAUACAUGUUAUUUGAUAAUAUUAAUAUGAUCAAGUAGAUAUUUAAAAUCAUUUAUGAAAAGAUAGGUCUCAAUUCACACAAUUUGAGCAAGAGUUACUGCCCUUUUGUUACUAUGAUAGAGGUCUUUAUGAGAAAUCAUUUUUGUAAAGAAAGGUCUCAAUUCACACAAUUUGAGCAAGCGAUACUGCUCUUUUUUGGUCUCCAUAAUGGAGGAUAUUGUGCACAAAACCAUUCAUAAAUCAGAUUUGCCACACUACAUGUAUUCUGGUGUUGAGACGUUUGAAAAAGUUGUUUUUUGAACAAUUUAAAAUUCUCUUGUUCUCUCUCAUCUUCAAUUUGGUUAGUCAAAUAAGAACCAUUAACCCUUCUAAAUGACACCCAAGGGAAAUAGGUCACACCCAAAAAAAACCAGAUUAGAUAUUUAUUAUAAUAACCUGUCAUAAAAGAUGAUAAUAUUAUUUUACCUUUUUUUGUUUUUUUGUUUUUGCAUUUGUUUAUAACAUAAAAUUUGUAUUUCCAUUGGGCAUAAAUCAUAUCAUUUCAUGCCUUUGUCUUUAAAAAGAACAAAUUCAUCAUAGCUUCAUUAUUGAACUCUCUAGGAAAUUAAUAUACCAUGUAUUUGUUGAUCAUUUUGCAAGUCAAAGACUUUUACAUUAAAAUAUAUAUAAAACAG
This 1010-nucleotide long non-coding RNA is filed under the name Mytilus galloprovincialis (Mediterranean mussel). The record is from RNAcentral. Lineage: Eukaryota; Metazoa; Mollusca; Bivalvia; Mytilida; Mytilidae.